AAGAAUAGAGGUUGACCAUCAGGGAUUUUAUUUUCCAUACUUGAAGACUUAAGUUACUUCUACCAAACAGAGAGAAGUGGUCAUAAUAGAUAAAGAUGGAUAACUGGUCGCAGGUAUAUUUAUUCUAGGGUCUAAAGGUUGUUCAGUCUGCUGUAGCAGUGAGUACCUGGGGAGAUGUCAAUUUCUCAGAUUAGAGGAGUUCCAUAUAAUUGGAUCCUGAAAAUUGGUUUUAGAGAUUUAGAAAUAUAUAAAGGAGUCAUUUUAAUUUUGAUAUUCUUGCACAGACUAUGAGUCAGAAAUCCUCAAGUUAAAUCUGCCAGAGUUCUUUGGUUAUUAAAUUUCAUGUUUUGGAGAAUAAGAUAUGUGUCACCUAUUCAUGGUAAUGAGGAGAGAAGAAGAAGGAAUUUCCACAGAGACUUCAUGUGUGCUCAAACAGCAGACUCUAUCUUGGUGCCAGGUCAAUAAAUCUUGAUAUUCACUUCAACAGAAGCCAAUAUCUUCAGAUUAUGAGUUAUUAAUCUUAGCCAAACUGAAAAAUUGUGUGAAUAUUUUUCUUUUACUAGAGAAAAUGAGGGCUUUUUUGGUCUCCUUUUUCUUCAGGCUUUCUUAAGGAG
RNAcentral lists this long non-coding RNA (614 nucleotides) under Vulpes vulpes (red fox). RNAcentral's name for it is "lncRNA (ENSVVUG00000004808.1)". The record is from RNAcentral. Lineage: Eukaryota; Metazoa; Chordata; Mammalia; Carnivora; Canidae.